Molecule: ribosomal RNA, 497 nt
Filed under: uncultured bacterium
Lineage: Bacteria
Description: partial 16S ribosomal RNA
Rfam family: Bacterial small subunit ribosomal RNA
Source: RNAcentral
GAUGAACGCUGGCGGCGUGCCUAAUACAUGCAAGUCGAGCGAACAGACGAGGAGCUUGCUCCUCUGACGUUAGCGGCGGACGGGUGAGUAACACGUGGAUAACCUACCUAUAAGACUGGGAUAACUUCGGGAAACCGGAGCUAAUACCGGAUAAUAUAUUGAACCGCAUGGUUCAAUAGUGAAAGACGGUUUUGCUGUCACUUAUAGAUGGAUCCGCGCCGCAUUAGCUAGUUGGUAAGGUAACGGCUUACCAAGGCAACGAUGCGUAGCCGACCUGAUAGGGUGGUCGGCCACACGGGAACGUAGACACGCACCAGGCGCCUGCGAGAGGCAGCAGUAGGGAAUCUUCCGCAAUGGGCGAGAGCCUUACGGAGCAACGCCGCGUGAGUGAUGAAGGUCUUCGGAUCGUAAAACUCUGUUAUUAGUGAAGAACAAAUGUGUAAGUAACUAUGCACGUCUUGACGGUACCUAGUCAGAAAGCAACGGCUAACUACGUG